GAUUGACCUCGGAUCAGGUAGGGAUACCCGCUGAACUUAAGCAUAUCAAUAAGCGGAGGAAAAGAAACCAACAGGGAUUGCCUCAGUAACGGCGAGUGAAGCGGCAACAGCUCAAAUUUGAAAUCUGGCCCGUUUCGGGUCCGAGUUGUAAUUUGUAGAAGAUGUUUCGGGCGACGGGCCGGUCUAAGUCCCUUGGAACAGGGCGUCAUGGAGGGUGAGAAUCCCGUGUGUGACCGGCGUCCCAGCCCAGGUGAAACUCCUUCGACGAGUCGAGUUGUUUGGGAAUGCAGCUCAAAAUGGGUGGUAUAUUUCAUCUAAAGCUAAAUACCGGCCAGAGACCGAUAGCGCACAAGUAGAGUGAUCGAAAGAUGAAAAGCACUUUGGAAAGAGAGUUAAACAGUACGUGAAAUUGUUGAAAGGGAAGCGCUUGCGACCAGACCUGCCCGCGGACGAUCCCCGGGGGUUCUCCCCCGCCCAUUCGUCCGUGACCAGGCCAGCAUCGGUUUCGGUGGUCGGAUAAAGACCGUGGGAAUGUAGCUCCCCUCGGGGAGUGUUAUAGCCCACGCGUGCAAUACGGCCCACCGGGACCGAGGACCGCGCUUCGGCUAGGAUGCUGGCGUAAUGGUCGUAAGCGACCCGUCUU
This 643-nucleotide ribosomal RNA is filed under the name Bilimbia sabuletorum. Its description in RNAcentral is "eukaryotic LSU rRNA". It matches the Rfam family "Eukaryotic large subunit ribosomal RNA", at positions 1 to 655 of the family's 3401-position model. The record is from RNAcentral. Lineage: Eukaryota; Fungi; Ascomycota; Lecanoromycetes; Lecanorales; Ramalinaceae.